Long non-coding RNA from Diachasmimorpha longicaudata, 323 nucleotides. RefSeq lists it as uncharacterized. The record is from RefSeq and is a predicted model, not a curated record. The transcript is spliced from 2 exons. NCBI's taxonomy places the organism in Eukaryota, Metazoa, Arthropoda, Insecta, Hymenoptera, Braconidae.
GGAGGAGAAUAUAUUAAGACUAGCAGCAAUGUAGCUUGAGCAAUCAGACUUGCUGCAACAGUAUAACUAGUUGACAUUAAAUUCUCUACAAUGAAAUUCCUGGUAGCAGUGCUUCUGGUGAUCACGAUGGCUCUCCUCCUGGCAGCCCCCUCCGAAGCUAUUCGAUGUCAGAGAGACUCCCAUUGCGCAGGGAUAAUCCUCUGUUACAGAGGAAUUGCCAAAUGCGUCAACUAUCACUGCACUUGCUCGACUGACAUGUGGAGCUGAGGAGGCUCGUCCUGAACGUUGUUAAAUAUUUUGGAUAAAUAAAUUGAUAAAUGUCA